CCCUUAGAUGUUCUGGGCCGCACGCGCGCUACACUGAUGCAUUCAACGAGCCUAUCCUUGACCGACAGGUCCGGGUAAUCUUUGAAUCUGCAUCGUGACGGGGAUAGAUUAUUGCAAUUAUUAAUCUUCAACGAGGAAUGCCUAGUAGGCGCAAGUCAUCAGCUUGCGUCGAUUACGUCCCUGCCCUUUGUACACACCGCCCGUCGCUCCUACCGAUUGGGUGUGCUGGUGAAAUGUUCGGAUCGGCCGUUUGUCGCGGUUUCCGCGGCUCGUGGCUGAGAAGUUCAUUAAACCCUCCCACCUAAAGGAAGGAGAAGUCGUAACA
This 325-nucleotide ribosomal RNA is filed under the name uncultured eukaryote. RNAcentral's name for it is "partial 18S ribosomal RNA". It matches the Rfam family "Eukaryotic small subunit ribosomal RNA", at positions 1470 to 1796 of the family's 1831-position model. The record is from RNAcentral.